RNAcentral lists this ribosomal RNA (253 nucleotides) under uncultured bacterium. RNAcentral describes it as "partial 16S ribosomal RNA". It matches the Rfam family "Bacterial small subunit ribosomal RNA", at positions 524 to 776 of the family's 1533-position model. The record is from RNAcentral.
UACGUAGGGGCCAAGCGUUGUCCGGAUUUAUUGGGCGUAAAGAGCUUGUAGGCGGUUUGUCGCGUCUGCUGUGAAAAUCCGGGGCUCAACCCCGGACGUGCAGUGGGUACGGGCAGACUAGAGUGUGGUAGGGGAGACUGGAAUUCCUGGUGUAGCGGUGAAAUGCGCAGAUAUCAGGAGGAACACCGAUGGCGAAGGCAGGUCUCUGGGCCGCUACUGACGCUGAGAAGCGAAAGCGUGGGGAGCGAACAGG